RNAcentral lists this ribosomal RNA (1436 nucleotides) under uncultured organism. RNAcentral describes it as "16S ribosomal RNA". It matches the Rfam family "Bacterial small subunit ribosomal RNA". The record is from RNAcentral.
UCAGGAUGAACGCUAGCUACAGGCUUAACACAUGCAAGUCGAGGGGCAGCAUGGUCUUAGCUUGCUAAGGCCGAUGGCGACCGGCGCACGGGUGAGUAACACGUAUCCAACCUGCCGUCUACUCUUGGACAGCCUUCUGAAAGGAAGAUUAAUACAAGAUGGCAUCAUGAGUCCGCAUGUUCACAUGAUUAAAGGUAUUCCGGUAGACGAUGGGGAUGCGUUCCAUUAGAUAGUAGGCGGGGUAACGGCCCACCUAGUCUUCGAUGGAUAGGGGUUCUGAGAGGAAGGUCCCCCACAUUGGAACUGAGACACGGUCCAAACUCCUACGGGAGGCAGCAGUGAGGAAUAUUGGUCAAUGGGCGAGAGCCUGAACCAGCCAAGUAGCGUGAAGGAUGACUGCCCUAUGGGUUGUAAACUUCUUUUAUAAAGGAAUAAAGUCGGGUAUGGAUACCCGUUUGCAUGUACUUUAUGAAUAAGGAUCGGCUAACUCCGUGCCAGCAGCCGCGGUAAUACGGAGGAUCCGAGCGUUAUCCGGAUUUAUUGGGUUUAAAGGGAGCGUAGAUGGAUGUUUAAGUCAGUUGUGAAAGUUUGCGGCUCAACCGUAAAAUUGCAGUUGAUACUGGAUAUCUUGAGUGCAGUUGAGGCAGGCGGAGUUCGUGGUGUAGCGGUGAAAUGCUUAGAUAUCACGAAGAACUCCGAUUGCGAAGGCAGCCUGCUAAGCUGCAACUGACAUUGAGGCUCGAAAGUGUGGGUAUCAAACAGGAUUAGAUACCCUGGUAGUCCACACGGUAAACGAUGAAUACUCGCUGUUUGCGAUAUACUGCAAGCGGCCAAGCGAAAGCGUUAAGUAUUCCACCUGGGGAGUACGCCGGCAACGGUGAAACUCAAAGGAAUUGACGGGGGCCCGCACAAGCGGAGGAACAUGUGGUUUAAUUCGAUGAUACGCGAGGAACCUUACCCGGGCUUAAAUUGCAGAUGAAUUACGGUGAAAGCCGUAAGCCGCAAGGCAUCUGUGAAGGUGCUGCAUGGUUGUCGUCAGCUCGUGCCGUGAGGUGUCGGCUUAAGUGUCAUAACGAGCGCAACCCUUGUUGUCAGUUACUAACAGGUUCCGCUGAGGACUCUGACAAGACUGCCAUCGUAAGAUGUGAGGAAGGUGGGGAUGACGUCAAAUCAGCACGGCCCUUACGUCCGGGGCUACACACGUGUUACAAUGGGGGGUACAGAGGGCCGCUACCACGCGAGUGGAUGCCAAUCCCCAAAACCUCUCUCAGUUCGGACUGGAGUCUGCAACCCGACUCCACGAAGCUGGAUUCGCUAGUAAUCGCGCAUCAGCCACGGCGCGGUGAAUACGUUCCCGGGCCUUGUACACACCGCCCGUCAAGCCAUGGGAGCCGGGGGUACCUGAAGUGCGUAACCGCGAGGAGCGCCCUAGGGUA